CAUUAUAUAUAUCACAACCUGAGCACGACAAUCAUAAGAUUUGUAUGCAAAAUUAAAGUAGUUUUCUCCUCAGUCCUGUCCAUGGCAGUCAUCAAGAGCAAUCACACACAUGCCAUGGGUUGUUCAAUCUUGAUUGUUGUUAUGAUCAUGUCUUCCACUUUGAUCUUACCAACCUAUUGCUAUGAACGUACGUAUCUCCAAACAUUCUUUAAUCAUUUUUUCUUCUUACUGAAUUCCUUAUUUUUGCUACAAUAGACCUUACUAGACAUAUGUAAUUAAUAUCAUUGCAUUUCCUCAAUGUUUAGUUGAUCUUCAUGAAGAAUGCUUGCCUAUUCAAGUCUGCAAUACAAAUGUCUGCCAAAACUUAUGCAGACACGACGGCAACCGUUGGCUCAGGGCCUACUGCAGGACUGGACCAGGCGAUCUGAAAAUAUGUUGUUGCGCUUAUUCCUGAAUCUCUAGUGAUGCUUGUUGUUGUUUGUGGCACUAAUAUUGUCGUUCUCUGUAUCCACCCGCUUGGAAUGCAUUCUCAAUAAAAUAGUUUUUUAGUGACUCAAUCAAAAUUUUAAUUAUUAUGACCAACAUCAUAUGUGUAUGAUCGAUAUCAUGUGCACAUAUCUAGUUAGUGGCUCGUCUUUACGUCUUAAACCAGCGUUGAAAAUAUUAUUGUAUCGACUGUUCUUCAAUUUCUUAUUCUUUUGCUUCGAUGACCGCAAUUGAUAUCUCCUUCCACAAAGAGAGGUCUCCCCACAAAAUCCCUCCAGAUCUACCCUUAGAAAGCAAGCAAUGCCAUGAGAAGUUAUAUUGUGG
This 810-nucleotide long non-coding RNA is filed under the name Triticum aestivum (bread wheat). RNAcentral's name for it is "long non-coding RNA (TAES_LNC002618)". Lineage: Eukaryota; Viridiplantae; Streptophyta; Magnoliopsida; Poales; Poaceae. The record is from RNAcentral.